RNAcentral lists this ribosomal RNA (123 nucleotides) under Saccharopolyspora gregorii. Lineage: Bacteria; Bacillati; Actinomycetota; Actinomycetes; Pseudonocardiales; Pseudonocardiaceae. The record is from RNAcentral.
AUUGUCGGCGGUGUCCUACUCUCCCACACCCUAUCGAGUGCAGUACCAUCGGCGCUGGAGGGCUUAGCUUCCGGGUUCGGAAUGGGACCGGGCGUUCCCCGCUCCGCUAAAACCACCGACAAU